GAUAAAUGCUGAAUUCCAGCGCAUCACUACGGUCCCGCUAACAUCCACAUUUAUGGCACAGCUGGACAACAACACAACCAAACUGACCAAAGUCUUCAGAAACAAGGGAGGAACAUCUGGACGCAAGAUCACAGAAAUCAUGGCUGCAAUUGAUGAGAACGACACAGUUGCAAUGAGAAGAGUGUGUACGCUGAAAGGACUUGCAGUCUACCUCAAUGAAGAUCCGAACAGCUUGAUCAAAGAAUAUCAGAUGAUGGACCAACACCUCUCAUCUCGCUCUGAGCUGUCUACUGUUUUGCAGCUUAAAGGGAUAUUCCACCCCAAAGAUGUGGACUUCCAUGAGGCCGAAAGUGAAAUGGAGAAGACGCUCAUUGGC
Oreochromis aureus is the source of this 376-nucleotide long non-coding RNA. NCBI's taxonomy places the organism in Eukaryota, Metazoa, Chordata, Actinopteri, Cichliformes, Cichlidae. The record is from Ensembl.